UACAGAGAGUGCAAGCGUUAAUCAGAAUUACUGGGCGUAAAGCGCACGUAGGUGGAUAGCUAAGUCGAAUGUGAAAGCCCCGGGCUUAACUUGGGAAUUGCAUCCGAUACUGGCUGUCUAGAGUAUGGUAGAGGGAAGUGGAAUUUCCGGUGUAGCGGUGAAAUGCGUAGAUAUCGGAAAGAACACCAGUGGCGAAAGCGGCUUCCUGGAUCAAUACUGACACUGAGGUGCGAAAGCGUGGGGAGCAAACAGG
This 253-nucleotide ribosomal RNA is filed under the name uncultured bacterium. Its description in RNAcentral is "partial 16S ribosomal RNA". It matches the Rfam family "Bacterial small subunit ribosomal RNA", at positions 524 to 776 of the family's 1533-position model. The record is from RNAcentral.